This 460-nucleotide ribosomal RNA is filed under the name uncultured bacterium. RNAcentral's name for it is "partial 16S ribosomal RNA". It matches the Rfam family "Bacterial small subunit ribosomal RNA", at positions 338 to 795 of the family's 1533-position model. The record is from RNAcentral.
CCUACGGGGGACAGCAGUGAGGAAUAUUGGUCAAUGGUCGGGAGACUGAACCAGCCAAGCCGCGUGAGGGAGGAAGGUACAGAGUAUCGUAAACCUCUUUUGUCAGGGAACAAAGACUGGGACGCGUCCCCGGAUGAGUGUACCUGAAGAAAAAGCAUCGGCUAACUCCGUGCCAGCAGCCGCGGUAAUACGGAGGAUGCGAGCGUUAUCCGGAUUUAUUGGGUUUAAAGGGUGCGCAGGCGGGUCGUUAAGUCAGGGGUGAAAGCCCCGGGCUCAACCCCGGUCCCGCGGUUGAAACUGGCAGUCUCGAGUUGGAGAGAAGUAUGCGGAAUGCGCGGUGUAGCGGUGAAAUGCAUAGAUAUCGCGCAGAACUCCGAUUGCGAAGGCAGCAUGCCGGCUCCACACUGACGCUGAGGCACGAAAGCGUGGGUAUCGAACAGGAUUAGAUACCCUUGUAGUC